GAUGAAGAACGCAGCGAAAUGCGAUAAGUAAUGUGAAUUGCAGAAUUCAGUGAAUCAUCGAAUCUUUGAACGCACAUUGCGCCCCCUGGUAUUCCGGGGGGCAUGCCUGUCCGAGCGUCAUUACAACCCUCAAGCUCAGCUUGGUGUUGGGCCCCGCCGCCCCGGCGGGCCCUAAAGUCAGUGGCGGUGCCGUCCGGCUCCGAGCGUAGUAAUUCUUCUCGCUCUGGAGGUCCGGUCGUGUGCUCCCCAGCAACCCCCAAUUUUUUUCAGGUUGACCUCGGAUCAGGUAGGGAUACCCGCUGAACUUAAGCAUAUCAAUAAGCGGAGGA
Molecule: unclassified non-coding RNA, 329 nt
Filed under: soil metagenome
Description: partial contains 5.8S ribosomal RNA, internal transcribed spacer 2, and large subunit ribosomal RNA
Rfam family: 5.8S ribosomal RNA (bases 1-120)
Source: RNAcentral